RNAcentral lists this transfer RNA (24 nucleotides) under Coptotermes sp. ISO777. RNAcentral describes it as "partial tRNA-Tyr". Lineage: Eukaryota; Metazoa; Arthropoda; Insecta; Blattodea; Rhinotermitidae. The record is from RNAcentral.
UAAUUUAUCUCAGCCACUCCACUA